AGCUACUCCCAGUUCUACUCUGCGUUCCCUGUGUCCCAGUCUCUGCUGGAGCCCGUGUUUCUGCAGGUUGAGCUCCUGCAGCCCCAUAGCCAGACUGACCACCUGAACUGGACUCCAGCCCUCAAUGGGACCUGGUCACUGAUUGCUGCCUGGUCACUGGAGACUCCUACAGAACCCACUUCCCUACAGAUCCCACCUGGAGGAUACCUGCAGUAAGACUUGUGUGCCUGGAGCCCAGAGAUCUGCUUCAGUGGUUUCAAUAUAUCCCCACGCUAAAUCGCAGAGUCAGCUCUGAACACGGCAUCCUUUAUAUUCCCUUGUGUGAUCGAGUGGAAAUCUGCUCUGCAGCGCACUCCAGCACCCACACAGCUCCAUGACCUGCACACCGCAGCACAAUUGUUGUACAAAGGCUGUUUUAUCAGUCACUGUUGUGGAUUAAAAUAGUAUUGGUUUUAAGAAUAAAUAAUUAAACUCACAUGGAGAGGUGUCAGGUCACGGGCAUUUCCUGUGCUGUAAACCUGGACUUUAUGGAGACGGGCAGAACGCAGUUCACGCUAUUCCUUAUUCAAUGCUGCCAUC
This is a long non-coding RNA of Acipenser ruthenus (sterlet), 579 nucleotides long. RefSeq lists it as uncharacterized. The transcript has 3 exons. The record is from RefSeq and is a predicted model, not a curated record. Lineage: Eukaryota; Metazoa; Chordata; Actinopteri; Acipenseriformes; Acipenseridae.